RNAcentral lists this long non-coding RNA (4202 nucleotides) under Vigna radiata. Its description in RNAcentral is "long non-coding RNA (VRAD_LNC016634)". Lineage: Eukaryota; Viridiplantae; Streptophyta; Magnoliopsida; Fabales; Fabaceae. The record is from RNAcentral.
UCACCUUAUGGAAACAGAUCAUAUGCACUAAUUUUAGUUUGUUGGCUAACAAUUUGUUUAACUAAUUGUUUUGUGUGCAGAAUUAGAAUUUGGCUUGACCAAGGAGUAGCAAGUUGUGAUUGUUGAAUCAAUGUUCAUCUGUAGCAGUUAAACUGGAUGAACACCAUCUUUGAUUAUCAGAACUGUCAUAGAAUUAGCAAUCGUUUGACAGUGUGGUUUAAACCACAAGCUGCAUUACAUUCGGCUUUGCAGAGAUUUUAAUGCCCUGAGUUCUAUUCCUAUUUUGCUGAUUUAGUGAUAAUCUGCAAUUUUUGUUGAAUUGUGGUGAUAUCCUAUUGUGCAGAUUGUUCUGGGAAAAAUUGAAAGUUAUGCAGAUUUCACUUAGAAAGCAGUGUACACCAGAUUUGUGACCAACUGCAGCAGUGGUAAAAUUGGAUCCAUUCUUCCACAUCAGUUGCAUUGAAGCCGAGAGAGUAAUUGUGCAGUUUUGAAAAGCAACAUACUCUUAGGAUCAUAAUGAAAAAGAUUGGGAAUUUGGAAGAAAGCUUGAAUCAAGAUAAGUUUAAUANGAAGGUGAAAACCUCAAUUAUCCAAAAUGAACUUAGAAUCAUAAAAGUGGAACAAAAGAAUCAGAGAAAUCAAGAGCUUUUAAGAGAACUCAUUCAANAGGGUAGAUCAUUCAUUAAUAGCUUAAGUGGAUUUUAUUGUCAGGAGAGAGAAUAUAGAGAUAAACUCAUAAAGUUCUUGAAUGAGGGAAGUAAAAGAGACAAGGAGAGAGAACGAAGAGAAUUACAAGAAAGACAAGAGAGAAGAAAGAGAGAAGAAGAGAAAAGGAGAGAAGGAUAGAGCAAGUAAGGAUAGAAGAGGAAGAAAGAAGAGAACAACAUAGGAUAGAAGAGGAAGAAAGAAGAGAGCAACAUAGAAGAGAAGAAGAAAAAGAGAGAAUAAGAAGAGAGAAAGAUAGAAAGGAAGAGGAAGAAAAGAGAGAGGAGGAAGAGCGACUACAAAAGAAAGAGAAUGAAGAAAUUGAAAGGAAGAAAAUGGAAGAAAAGAAAUUGAUGACAACAUAUUCUAUUCUAGAACCCAAAAGGGGAGGUUUUCUAUCCUUUCACUUUUCUUCAAUUGAUAUUAAAUGUUCCAAAUUCAUCUUUUCUUUCCAAAACUUUGCCAUCACAUCUUUUCAAAAGUUACAAUUUCCAAAACUUGAGUUAGAGUUACUUUUCAAGUUAUCACUAACUCAAGACAAAAAUAAAUUUUCAAAUGAAGAAAGGUUUCUUUGUAAUCAUAAAGUUGAAAAUUUUAAAAUUAAGAAAUAUUUUUCUAAACAUAUUCUUUUAUAUACCUUGUUGGGUCAUAGAAAACUAAUUAGAGAUAUGUUUGAUGUUUAUUGCAGAUUAAUCUUUGACCCAGGAGGAACUAGUAUGGAGUCUACAAUAAUAAGUUCUCAGGCGAACCAUCAGAUUUGAGGACAAAUCCUUUCCAAGGGGGAGGGGAUGAUGACUUGGGCCCAAGCCCAAUAAAUAAAGUCCACUAAACCAAGCUCAUCAUUUAGACAAGGAAUCAUUUACUUGAAGAAUAAGGUUGCUGAGUGCACUCCCCAUGGUGAUAAAUCAACCUUGUGGCAGCAAAGCCCAAGAAAUAGAAGACUAAGGGUGCUUAGCGCACCCCUCCUUUAUGCUAAAUACACCGUGGUAGCUUUUCUUCAUUGUUAGCUUGCAUUUCCGUUUAGCUUCUAGAUUCAACAACUUCCAGCACGUGUAUGAUAAGUUGUGCAUGAUGGUAGCAAUAGGCAUCGUUUAGAUUCAUCUACCACGAGGGAGAUAACACUAUAAAUUUCCCUCCUUACUCUUUGUAGAGACACCUUUGAAUAUAUGAGAGAAUAGAUUUGCUGAUGCCUUUUCCAGCGUCUUCUCCCACCGAAGGUGACACACUUGUGCUUCUCCCAAAUUCUCCUCUAGCUUCCUUCCAAAGGUGAAGGCCUUCUGAGCUAGUUUCAUUCCAUUAAAGCACCUCAUCCAGCCCAUCUUCCAUCAUCAAUAUACUNCCGCUGCACUUCACAUCUUCGUAAACCAGACUUUCUUCCGCUGCCACCAUUUUCAUCAUCUAAAACUCACGGAUCUGAACAUAGCACCUUGGACGGAGCUAUCAUGUGGUAUCAGGAGCUGUGGUCGAGUUCCACGCUUGAGCUAAGUGUCUCUGUAUGAUUUCCAUGUUGUCUUCCAGUUACAUCCAUGUUUUUGUUCUGUUUUAUCAGUGUUGUUACUGUAUCGUCAAUUUCGCUUGGUCAUUUCUUUUGUGCAUCACUGUUUCAUUAAAUCUGUUGUGUGUUCAUGUUUUUUUCUGCUCAUUUUAAUAUGUGAAAUUUGGUUGUAGAGUCAAUUCUGCUUUUAGAUUUUAAUUUCAGUUUGUCAAAGUCAUGUGCAUUCUUAAAAUUGAUGUGGUUUUCCAAAUCUGUCCAGUUUUACUCUAAUCUGCUUUAAAUAAGUUCAUGAUGAAGUUAGUGCAAUGUUUAAAGUGAAAAUUAUCACCAAAUCAAGGCAGUGAGACACUAAGUCUAGCCUGGUGAUGAAUUAAGCCAAGCCUAACUCAUUAUUCAAAGUUGUUAUCUGCUGCUUCUAAUAGUGUUUGUUGUUACACUAGUUCAAAGUAAUUUGUGCUGGUUUAUUCUCGGAACAAUCUACUUUGGUGUAUUUACACCACUGUUUGGUGUUGCUUAAGGUUUCAAAAGAAUGGUAAACCAAAAACAAGCAAUGAAUUGCAAUUAGCAUAGCUUGGUUACCAUAAUUUCACAAGCACCUUACUGUUUUGGUCUUAUUUCAAGCUUUUCACCGUGCUUAAAAAUCCUUGGAUGUCUAAUCUGAAUUUAAUUCAUUCUAGCUGAUAAUUUCCAGCUUGAUCUAGUGUAUUAAGACUUCCUUGAGUCAUUUUCAUUAUUGCUACAGCUUUUGAAUCCAUCAAACUUGAUUUUGGUGGUUAUUUGGUGCAUUUUACUGCAUAAUUUGGUACAACAGAGGUGAAUUUUGGAAAUCUGUUGUUUCUUUCCUGUUUUACAGUUUUAGCAAGCUUAAAUUGAUGGUUUAGAGCUGCUAGCACUAUUCAUUUUGUCAAAACUUAGCCUAUAUGCAGAUUUGCAUUUCAAACCAUCACAUUUUGAGUUAAAUUAGGAAGUGGCAAGGUGAAUUUGAGAUGCAGUUUUGUUUGGUGCCUAAAUAGAGUUCAAACAAGUCUGUUUUGAUGAUUCAAGGUUGCUGAUAUGGUUCAAAUUACAAUGCCACAGCUGUUAUGCGUUGUCACUUAUUGAAACCACCAAUUUUAAGUCAUUUUUGUGUAAAAGUUGAUGUGCAGAACUGUUUUUGUGAAAUUUGGCAUUCCUAAUUGAUUUGAAUUGCAGCAAAAGCCUAGAAUCUGUACCAAAAACUUAAAAUAUCUUGGAAUGGAUGAAAUACUCCAAUUAAAAGGCCAUUAGAUUUUGUGCAGUUCAUUAAAUCAGCUUGCAAAUCUGAAAAAAAAAAAUUGCAGUUUGACUAAGUUCAUUUAGGACUUUCAUCAAACGGUUUUGCAAAAUCAAUAUUGGAAGCCUAAUCUUACGUUUCUGAAUCAACUUGCUGGUUUUUUUUUGCUUUUUGAAUCUAAUCUAAAGCAUUUCUUAGGAUCCUUUUGUUGUGCCUCCAUGUUGUAGUGCAGUUUUGUGUUGAACCAUUUCUGUGCAGCAUCAACAUUUUCGUGAACUAAUUUCUGAAAAAAACUUGUGAUCUGGUUGAAGUGUCAUCACAGGGGAAAUUGAUCUAGCUGAGAUCCUAAACCAUUGGUAGCAUAUUAGGGAGUGGAGAAUUGGUGGAAAUCACAAGGGAAAGUGGCUUACGGUACUGCAGAAUUCCUCUGCUGGAAAAUAUAGAUUGAUGCAACAGAUUGCUUCAGUUUUGUUGCUGCAAUUUAAAGCCUUUUUACCUGCAACUGUGAGCUUUGUUGGCUGCAUUCAAUGUUACACAGGUUUACUUGAGAGAAUCCAAAGCAGCCUAACUCUUUCGGACCUGCCACCUUUUUUUUUAUUACUGACCCCACAGAUUUGCAUAAACACCCUGCAGCUAAGAGUUUUGAAUUUACUACAUAUUAGCAAUCCUUACUUUAUUGAGAAUCCAGAGCUGCAAAUGUCCAAUGCCUUUUUCCUCUGAUUUGUUUUUCCAGAUUUGCAAAAUCCUAAU